GGUCUUAUAUUCAAUUAUGAAUAUAGAAUGCAAUUCUAUAAAAAUAGAUAAUCCUAUUAAGACUU
RNAcentral lists this transfer RNA (65 nucleotides) under Euphyllodromia sp. Z257. RNAcentral describes it as "tRNA-Cys". The record is from RNAcentral. Lineage: Eukaryota; Metazoa; Arthropoda; Insecta; Blattodea; Pseudophyllodromiidae.